CUCUCUCCCUUCUCCUCCCCGUCGCCCUCUCUCUCCCUCUCUCCUCCCCGCCGCCGCCGCUCCCUGCUCUCCGCCGCCGUCCUGCCCGCUCCCGCGGGAUCCAGAUCUGGCGCAGGGGGCAGCGGCGCCCCCUUCCUCCGCCCGGCUCUGCCCCGGAGCUCCUCCGCGCCGACCCUCCUCCGCCCGACCACACCCCGGAGCUCCUCAGCCAGGCCCCAGGCGUCGCCGCCCAGGAUCUCCGGGCCGAGGCUUCGCCGCUCUCCGGCGCCGCCCCGAGCUGUGACGCCGCGCCCGAGCCUGCCCGAGCCCUCCGCGUGCGCCUCCAGGGCCGGUAUCGGAGAUGGCAGACAGGGCGUCGGCGUCGGGCGGCCUCGCCCGGCCUGGGCCGAGGAGGUCGGGAUCGGCAUGAGUUCGUCAAGGCCUGCUCCGCCCACCUCAAGCGCUCCGGCAAGAUGUAUUGCUGACGAAUCUUUUUAGCGAUAAUGCCAUCUAUUCUUGGAUCACUGAUGGCAUCUCCAAGAAAGUGGUUGCUAUAUAUAUGAAUGCAGUUCUACUCAAAACAGAGAAGCUCUCCGAAGCUCUCUCAUGGUAUUAGCAUAAUUACUUGCAAUUUUUCUGAUAAGGAUUAAGCUACGCUUUCCCUCCAGUAAUUCCUUCACUUGAUGAUAGGAUUCCUUGAUUAGUAUUGUCAUCAGAAAAAUGGUUUUUUCUCCUCCUGUUUUUGAUCAGCAUGUUGUUCUGGAGUUUGUGCUCCCUUGUGUGAAGGUGCUUCCUGCGCUCGAGCUACUACUGGAUGGGUAGCGGCAGCUGCAGGCAGCAGCACUCAGAUGCAGGCAGGAGGUCGCCAAACAGGCAAGAUGGAAAUGAGUGUUAUCAAGGACAUGGUGAUUGGCAAACUGGCACCUCUUGUCAGUACUUCCCGGCUGAGCUAUUGCAGUAUUCUGAACUUAAUGAACCGUGUUGAAGGCCAAUUUACUUCAGAGCAUGUGACUAGGAAUUCAUUCCAUCAGUUUCAGUAUGAGAAGGUUUGUUUCAGGACCUUUUAUAGAUGCUUUGUACUGUCAUAUAAUAGGUAAUGUUGGAGGGUGAAGCUACCUUGCUUGAUUACUCUGGAGAGACUGAUCUUGCUAAAUAUCACAAAUUGGGGCUUGAUAUAUCUGAACUUGAGAAGAAAAUAAUGUCUGGGAUGAUUAGACCAGAGGGGGCUUUAUUAUAUUUGGUUCCUGGAAGUAAGAGUCAUUGAUGUGUGCAUUGGUCGACUCAUGCUUGGCGUUAGGCAGUAAAGAUAUCUGUUGCCCAUGUUGAUCGACUAGAUGUAUUUUGUGAACUUCGUGGCUGCAAACUGUGUACUACUUUCCAUAUAUAUUAGCAUCGUAGCAUACUUUCGUACAUCAUGUGUUCAUUUGGGUCGGUAUUCAGCUACCAGCUGUAAUGUUUGCUGGUUGCCUGGUUGUGAGCUUGUGUCAUGCAUUCGGUGCUACUGAUCCAUCAUCUGUAAUCUUAGAUGGAAUGAGCUUGUCAUCUUUCA
This is an RNA transcript of Setaria italica (foxtail millet), 1528 nucleotides long. RefSeq lists it as uncharacterized. The transcript is spliced from 4 exons. Lineage: Eukaryota; Viridiplantae; Streptophyta; Magnoliopsida; Poales; Poaceae. The record is from RefSeq and is a predicted model, not a curated record.